Long non-coding RNA from Rosa chinensis, 637 nucleotides. RefSeq lists it as uncharacterized. The transcript is spliced from 2 exons. Lineage: Eukaryota; Viridiplantae; Streptophyta; Magnoliopsida; Rosales; Rosaceae. The record is from RefSeq and is a predicted model, not a curated record.
GUUGAUUGUCGAUUUUGCCCUUCUAUGUUUUCCAAAAUUACCAAGCCCACCUGUUGAUCUGCUGUGCCGCCACCGAAUACUGGGCUUCUCGCAUCUUCGUUUAUUUGAUGCGCAGAAACAGGUUAGAGAUUGAUAGAGACAGAGACGUUAUUUGCUUCGCAGAGAGAGAGAUAGAGAUAGAGAGAGGUGUUGGUUUCCGGUUGUUUGCUUGAUCUGUGCAGAAAGGGUAGAUAAUUCUGGGGCUUUUCAGAAUUGAAGGAGGACGAACACAGUAUUAAGUUUGGGUUACCUCUGGAGAAGCUACAUAGGGUUUACAAACCUGAAGCCGAUCAAGGGCAGCGUAUAUGCUAGUAAGCUGGAGAGGAUGAGGACGAUGGUGAUAGGGUGUCUUUGGAACAAUUGAUACUCUGCUGGAUAUCUGAAUUGGACGAAGGUGAAGAAUAUCGGAACAAUGAAUGCAACAAUGUCAUGGUACGUCGGAGCUCUGUUUGUGAUGUGCAGAUUAUUGUUGUUGAUGCAGUAAAUGUUAACGUGACUGUAAUAUAGAUUCUUCAUCCGAAAGUAAAUCUUCAAAUGAGUUGCAUUUGUUAGUGGUGUAGAAGUAAUGAAGUAUAUAAUUAAUUAAGUUGUCAGCUGA